Molecule: non-coding RNA, 26 nt
Filed under: Bombyx mori (domestic silkworm)
Lineage: Eukaryota; Metazoa; Arthropoda; Insecta; Lepidoptera; Bombycidae
Source: RNAcentral
UCUUGACAGAGUGGUCGUGGUCAUGC